Molecule: non-coding RNA, 24 nt
Filed under: Arabidopsis thaliana (thale cress)
Lineage: Eukaryota; Viridiplantae; Streptophyta; Magnoliopsida; Brassicales; Brassicaceae
Source: RNAcentral
UAUAAACAUUCGUUGACCAGGCCA